UGACUUGGCGCAUGUUCAGGCAUGUAGUUGAAACAAAAUCAACAUAGCCUCUAUGAUGUUCAUGUUCAUGGUGGUUUAUUUCCUACUCAUGCUUGCACUCAAUGUUAGUUAAUCUCAAUGCAUUUUGAUGACUCUUGUCGCUCUCUAGUUGGUCGCUUCCCAGUCUUUUGCUAGCCUUCACUUGUACUCAGCGGGAAUACUGCUUGUGCAUCCACUUCCAUAAACCCAAAGUUGUUCCAUAUGAGUCCACCAUACCUACCUAUGUGCGGUAUCUACCUGCCGUUACAAGUAAAUUUGCAUGUGC
RNAcentral lists this long non-coding RNA (304 nucleotides) under Hordeum vulgare. Its description in RNAcentral is "long non-coding RNA (HVUL_LNC006976)". Lineage: Eukaryota; Viridiplantae; Streptophyta; Magnoliopsida; Poales; Poaceae. The record is from RNAcentral.